Phrynosoma platyrhinos (Desert horned lizard) is the source of this 72-nucleotide non-coding RNA. The record is from the annotation of a GenBank genome assembly. NCBI's taxonomy places the organism in Eukaryota, Metazoa, Chordata, Lepidosauria, Squamata, Phrynosomatidae.
GCAGUAGUAGCGUAGUGGUGUGAGUAUUGGACUAUGGCUCUGGAGAUCAGGGUUCGAUUCCCCACUUGGUCA